This 897-nucleotide long non-coding RNA is filed under the name Triticum aestivum (bread wheat). RNAcentral describes it as "long non-coding RNA (TAES_LNC026185)". Lineage: Eukaryota; Viridiplantae; Streptophyta; Magnoliopsida; Poales; Poaceae. The record is from RNAcentral.
UUCUCUUCCAUCUACAUUGAUUGAAUUACAUGGUUUGUUCUUCUCCUAGCUGUAAUGGUCCGCGGCGUCCAGGCCCAGCCUCCUCGGUUGCGUGGGGCUGUGGUUGGUCUGCGUGCUUCUGCUGGAGCAGUCCCCGCCGUCCAGGUCGGCCUCCUGCUAUACGUGAUGCUGUUGUUGGGCGUCGUGGUGGCUGCGGUGUUGUGCGGGGCCGUUCUGCAUUCAUGGCGGAUGUCGUCGCCGUUGUCGUUGCUGGGAUCGAUGCCUUCAGCCAUCGAGGAGGACUGUUGCGACAACUGCGGCUUUUCUCAUGGUGGUCUCAGAGAUGGCGAUCAUGUCCUUGCACCGGCGGAGGCCGUAGCCCGAGAGGGACGACCAGAGAGACCCGGCCUUGGAGCGAACUGCCACGAGCUCCUUUGAGUUUGCCCAAUAUUGUGUGAGCGCCGCGGCCAGAAUUUGAGGUGCGUGUUAACUCUUCCUCCUCAACUCGAGAGCUCCGCGGGAAGCAUCUCACUGUCUGCUGCGUGCGCGAAGUAGUCCUGUUUUCUCUCUUUGCCAUGCAGAAUAAUGGUGGUAGCAGUAGCUGCCUGGUCUAUUGCUACCCGCAAACUUUUGUGCUAGCUGCUCAUUUAGCCCUUAGCUUGAUGUUUUCCAGUUCAGGGUUUGUACAUUGGAUGAUCUUGUAGUAGUUAACAACUAAGGAGAGUCUUUAACGCCCAGGGAAAGUAUCAGGUGAUACGGAGCCUUAGAUGCUCCCAUGAUACGAGCUCAUAGGAGUCGUUGGAUCUCAGAUCCAACAGUUCCGGGAGGCUUUGAACAUUUUUGCAAAAAAGACCUUUUGAAGUCUAAAAAUUGCGAACAAGUAUUGUAGCCUUCAAAACCACCUAGGAGCCGUUGGAU